RNAcentral lists this long non-coding RNA (26650 nucleotides) under Gossypium raimondii (Peruvian cotton). RNAcentral describes it as "long non-coding RNA (GRAI_LNC004319)". Lineage: Eukaryota; Viridiplantae; Streptophyta; Magnoliopsida; Malvales; Malvaceae. The record is from RNAcentral.
AGAGAAUGUGCAUGUACUAACCUAACGAAACUAAGACUCAAAGACAUGCUUGGGAAGGAACAAAUUGUAAACUGGCAUUGUACCCUCGAAGACAACUUUAUGUCAUGUAGUUCAAAUAUUUAAAUAUAAUGUUUAUGAUAGUGCAAUCACUCCCUCAGCCCCAAGCAUUUUUCCUGCAUUAGAUGAUAUUCAUGACAGGUGAACAACAAGAAAUAUGUUCUUUCAAGGAAAGAAAUUAUUCUCACCCAGAAGGACCACCACGUCCUGCAGAAUAAGCUCCAUGAGCACCAGUAGUACUACCAAUCUACAAAUAAUAUUUAAGAAUCAUAAUUAUUAACUAUCAGCAUAGAGAUAGAGAGAGAGAUUGGGACAAUGUAAACAAAAUGAGAAAGCUAAACUAUUAUAAGAAGCCAAAUAAGAAAUAAAUAUUGAAGGGAAUAAGGAUUUAAGGGACUAAAAAUUAUUUUCACUUGAUAAAUGGGAUAACUAAGUCCAACAAACUAUAUUUCUACAAUUCACCCACCUAAAGAACAGUAAAAUAGUAAAAGUUGUCAAAAGGAAAUACCUGGAGACCACCAUAACUUCCAUAGCUGUCACUAGAAGAUAAAUCACUAGAGCCAUAACCACCAGAAAAGGAGUGCACACGUCCAUGCCUCUUGCCCUCUCUACUUUCAUAACUUAAAUUGUCGGUUCCUUCAGUUGGCACAUGAAGAUACGGUAAAACUGGCACUAACGCAUUAACAGCACCUUCCCUAUCAAAUAGGUUUGCUCUUAACCGUGUUGUUAUUUGUACAAGGGCAUCCUUUGCAACAUCAAGGUCUCCAGCAAUCUGAAUAAUAACAGACCAACCAUGUUCCGUUCGUAUAAUAUUUUUUUUAAAAAAAAGAGCCAACAAAUAGAAAGCAAUGAUUAAGAAAAUCCUAUAUAAAUGAUAGAACACCUGAACCAUCUCAUCAUCUUCAGAUGCAAUUUUUGGAAGAUUCUCCUUUGACAGGAUACGGAUAUUAGCUUUUGUGAUCCUUCUCAUCUCCGUUACAAUAGCUCCUCCUUUACCAAUAAGGCAACCAAUACGUGAGGUAGGCACAAAUAAGCGGGUUGUGAAUGAUACAAUUCCAGAGUCUCCUUCAACCUUCUCACUGCAUCUAGGUUGCAACCGUGCAGCAGCUUCGAUAGAAGGUGAAUACCAAUCCUCAAAGAACUAAUGCAGCAGAAGAUUAGGAACCCCGUCAAAAAGCAUAGCAUAGAUACUUCCACAAGACAAAUAAACAUAGCAAAGAUGAAAAGCUGACCUCCUUAGCUGAUAUAGUUAUUAAGCAAUCAUCUCCAUCUGUAGUUGAGCUAUCUACUUUGAUGGCUGCACCUGAUUCCUGCCUGAUCUGGUUGAUUAUAGCACCACCUUUGCCAAUCACACCUCCAAUAUUAGCAGUUGGACAAACCAAACGAAGAGAAAAUUCUUUUGAUGACAUCUCAUCCCUUGGAGCUGAGUACAUGGAGCGUGGCCAUUCUCCAGUGUCACCUUUGUAUCGUCCAUAAGGUCCAACCAAUGAAGUUACCCCUACAAUCCGGGCACCAGCAGCUGGACCAAGCAUUGCACCAGCAGCAGGAUAUGCAUUUGACACAGCAGAAGCAAGCAAGUGCUGAGAUCGUGAAGGGUUCUCAUGAAGGCGAGAUGCAAUUUGAUGCAGAGCCUUUUUCACAACUGCAGCUUCCCCAGAUAUCUAAAGCCAAAAGUAAAUUAAAAUAUAAAAAGGCCAACCAUCUGAUAACAUUAUUAAUAUUAAAAAAAAAAAACUAACAAUAUUACAGAAAACAAACAAAAGAAGGUGAAAUUUUCAGGAAAAAACACAUAAAAAAAAUAACAUAUUAAAAGCAUGCCAAAAACAGUCUCAAAAGAUAUAAUUCAUAAACUGAAGAAAUCAAAGGCGAAAAAUUAAAUGCUGAUUUUGUCAACUACAGCAAUCAAAUAAACAAAAUCUUUGUCCAAUGUUGACCCUAAACACAAGAAAAGCCUCUUGCCAAUGCUUUCAAUAAAUUGAAACUCAUCUCAGCAUAACUUUUUACCAUGUCGGUGUAUGGGCGUAAACUAUGUUUUAAAGGAGAGAAGAGAUUGUUAAAUGAAUAAGGAAAAUCUAAAAGUACUACAACAAUAAUCAAUUAGUCAAAUAACCUGUACAAGUUCAUCUGUGGACAAGGCACAAGAAGGUAAAUCGUCCUUAAGAAUGCGAAUCUGAGCACCAGUUUCACUACGUAUGUUCUGAACGAUCUGUCCACCCUUUCCUAUAACACAUCCAAUCUGAUCAGAAGAUAUAAGAAGCCGAGCAGUAAUUUGGCGGCCUUCAGAAUCUUCAUCACUGUGCAAAUCUUCUGCAACAACUCUGUCAUGCACCCUGAAUAAAGCAUCUUGAGCAGGAGAAACAAAAGAAUCCCCAUCUUCAAGGGCAUUUCUCUCAUCUCUAGAGCUAUAGAUAGUAACCACGCGUUCAUCAGAACCAGGAAUUGUCUCACCAAUUCUAAUCUUUGAUUUAGUGUCUGCUCUUAAUUGCUUAACAAUCUCCCCUCCCCUUCCAAUAAUGCUUCCUAUCUUUCUUGCAGGGCACAAAUACCUAUAAACGGUAUCAUCUGAAUCAAUAACAAAUUGUUCCCUGUCAUCACCUGCAUUUCUCCUCUUAUUUGAUCCAUUCUCAGAAUAGUCAGACUGAGAAUGAGACCGCUUCCCAUAGCUAUUCCUCUGACCCGCCAUUAUUAUCAACAAAAAUAAAUACCUGGUUCCAAGACAAUAGUAAAACAUUACAAAUACUAAUUGAACCAAUCUUGAGGAUCGAACCACCCAAAAUGUAAAGCACCAGCACAAAAUGCUCAUCAACAGAACAAAUCAAUAACUAAAUUAUUUUCAUUUUUCAAUCAUCAAAGCAUAAUUCAGAUAACAUUAUAUCUCCACUUAAAUUUAAUUGUUGGUUUGAGUUUCUUAAUGAACAGUAAAACGCGCAUAAAAUUUAUGAUUGAACAAACACUAGAUUCCAACCAUGAUAGCAAAACUAUCAAUAACAACAAUGAAAACAAAACAGUUAGCUCUCUACAGCUCAGCUUUACAACUAGGCAAAUUCAAAGAUAAAUCACUAACUGUAUCUCAACUUUGACCCACAAGUUUAUCUUCCAUAACAAAUUAAAAUCCCACUUCAAAUCACCCCUCCAAAAUUAAUAUAACAGACAAUAGAGGGAAACCAAAUAUUAGAAAGAUUCAGUUACGUAAAAGAAAAAAAAAUUCAAAUCAACCCACAAAUUUAAACAGCAUAAAUAUAAAUAGUCUCCGAAAACUAACACAAAACACAUUAGAUUCAAUAAAGAAACUAUAAUUCCUCUCAUCAAAUACAGAAAGGACGAUAAUUCCAGUCAAAAAUGAAUUUAAAAUGAAAACAAGAGCAGAAAAUGUAGAUUGUAGAUCUGAUUAAAAGAGAAUUUUAAAAAAGCAAGAGCAAUCAGAGGGGAAUUAAUUGCCAAAAGAUAAUGGGGUUUUACCUGAGAAUUGAGAUUGAUUCUCAGCGUCUAAACAAUGAGAUUUUCAACAAGAAAAAAAAAAAAGAAAAAAACAAGGACUAAAGACAGAAUUUGGGGGCGAAAGAUAUUUUGCUUUCAUGAGCUCUUUUGAUUUCUAACUUGUUGGAAAUGAUUAGUUUUUGUAUUUUUCAUUUUUCUAUUUAAUUCGUGCUGAAUGGAUUUAUAAAUAAGAUUUUUAUUACUAUAUGGAUAUUAAUUUUUUAGUCAAGGGUGUUUAGUUCGAGUCGUGUUAUUCGUAUUAUUUGUUCAAGCUUUAUCCUGUUAUUAUAAUUCAUUAAAAAUAAAAAAUUAACUUUUAUAAUAAAAUAUUUUCUCUCAUCAAAUAUGUGUAUAGAUAAUGUCUGAUGAAUCUACAAAUCAACUCAAUAUUUAAUUUUUUUAAAAUAAAAUUUCAAUAUGGAAUUUUAUUUUCACUAACUUGAUAACUUUUGAUAUGUAAUAGAAAACUAGAAAUAUGAUGAUAAAUAAUUACAGUGUAUUUAAUAUUCUUAAUAUGAUAUAUUUACUUAUUUCAAUUUUCUUUUACUCAUAAGUUAAACUAUUUUUUAUUUUAAUUUCGUACAUAAUGCAUAUAUGUUCUUAUUAUUAUUAGCUUUAAACUAUACGUUUUAUAAUUUAUUAUAUGUUAUUUUUAAACACAUACUUGUGUUUUAAAUAUAACACAUAUACAUGUAAUAGAAUUUCUAGUUAAAAAUAAAAUACAUAUAUGUAAAAAAACCAUUAAAAAGGUAAAAAAAAAUCAAUUAAACCCUUGUAUUAAAUUCACAUCCAAUUAAGCCUUUGUCAUUAAUUAAGAUAAUCAAUUAAGCUCAAAUUUACAUUUUAUUCAUUUUAGUUCCUAAUGUACGAAACUAUUAAUUAAGCUUAACAAUUUACUCUUUUUUUUAUAUCUAAACUUAAAUAUAUCAAUUUAACACCUAAAACUUUCAAUUCUCAAUUAUGGAAAAUUUUUAAAAAAUUAACAGUUUUGUAAAUUCAUACAUAGGCUAGCUAGAUUAAGCUCUCGCGAUCUAAAAAAUAUAAAAAUUAUAAGAAAAUGACUAAAUUGUACUAAAAAAUAUUGUUGAAUAAAAACUUGAUAUUCGACUAUGGCGUUUUCUCCUUUAAUUUCUCUCAAUUUCGGUGGGGAAGAAGAUGUUUUAUCUUUCUUCCCACCAAUUCUAUAAUAUAUACAUAUAUUACCCUUAUACUUAGUUUUAAUUAAUUAUGUUUACCUUUAAUUAAUAAAUUUUAAGCAUAAUCAUGUUAUAUUGUCCACUAGUUAAAAUUUAAGUCGUAAAGUUAUUUUCUAAUUGAAAAUCUAUAGUGAUUGAAUUUUACAAUUUAGUCCCUAGGCCUUAAUUAAACAUAAUUUUAGCUAAAUUACUUAUCCAAAAUUCAAUCCACUUAUAUAAUAACUCGAUAAUUAUUUAAUAAAAAUAUUUACAGGUUCAAUUUACAGAAACAAUGUCCCGAAAUCGUAUUUUCUGACACCAUGAACUUUCAGGUCGUUACAUUUCUAACUUGAAAGGGCAUGUUAAAAAAUUAACUGAGAAGGUGCAAACUCUAAAAAGUUAGUUGAAAGAGAAGGUCAAAAAGAUUGAAGAUUUGACAGUCGAGUUUUUUUAAGGAAGAAGAGUCUUAUGCUGUUGGUAAAGCCUUGUUUACCUUGGCUCAAGGGAAGUUGUUGGACUCAUUUCAGGACUAACUGGUCUUAGCCCUUCAAGUUGUCCAUGGUCCUUUUGACUACCGGUAGUUGAACUUGGCAGCUCUACUGGAAAAGGACUUUGAUUCAUUAAGCUUCAAUCUGAACGAUUCAGAUCUUGACAAUGAUAAAUGGCAAGAGUUUCAAGAGCGACUCCAAAUUCCUUUGACUGCUCCGAAGGAGACGCCUUCUGCUGAGACAACAACAAGAAAUGCCUCUACUGAAGGUGAUCAAGUAGGUAGGGAGUCGGAUGGUGGUUUUUUAAAAGAUACAGAUCCCUCUACUGCUAAUGUUACUUUCAAGAAGAAUAAUGUUAACCUUGCUGAGAAUAAUACUUGUAAUACUAGGCAUAAAUCCCUUGUUGAUGUUAAAUGACUUUUUUUCUCUUAAUCAAUAAAAUUACAUUUUCCUUCCAUUCCAUUUCUGUUUCGUUGUUUAUUUAUUCUUAGGAGAGUUUCUUUCAAAGUAAUUAAGUGUAAUGACCAUUCAUUAUUACUAUGACGCUUUCAUUGACAAAUGCUAAUACCUGCAAGUUUGCUAACUUUGAGAGAAAUAAGAUAUUGUGUCGUCAAAUUUCUUGUCAUUUAGAAGGAUUGGAGUGUACGAAAGCUUUUCUAUUAACAUCUUCUAAUGAAGGAAUUACUUCUUUUACUUUCUUGAUAGAAAUAUUCGUUGUGAUUAUUUAUCUUGGGUAAAAUCUUUCGAAUGACCCUACCACUAAACCAAUUUACCAGGACUUUAAACUUGUAUUAUUGGCGUAUUCUUUUCUAAUAGCGCUAAUGUUUUCUUUGUGAAACAUCCUUUUCUAGGGUCAUUUCUUGAGUAGAGCAUUUUAGAAAGUCCUGAUCCCACACAUAUAGGGAGGCUUACGAGAGGUCCUACUCUCAGCACAUAAGGAGAUACUUAUGGGAGGUCCUGCUCCUAAUAUAUGGAGGGCACUUAUGAGGGGUCCUGCUCCCAACACAUAGGGGGCUUAUGGGAGGUCCUGCUCCCAACACAAAGGGGGAGGCUUAUGAGAGGUCUUGCUUCCAACACAUGAGGGAGGCUUAGAGAGAUCUUGCUCCCAACACAUGGCGGAGGCUUGCAAGAGAAAUAUGGGUGUUUUAUGACGCAUGGUGCUAUAUAAAAAGCAAUGUGUGAAUGGAAAGUCAUGGUAUUUUAUUAUUUGUUUUUUUUGUACAUAACUUGUAAAAAAGGAGAACAAAAACAAUUAUAAAUUUGAAAAACAUACUUUUCAUUUAAGUAUAAAAUCUGCGAAGGUUAUGAGCAAUCGAUGUUCAUGGUAUAGCUAUUCCAUUCAUCUGUUCUAAUCAGUAUUAUCCAAAGUCGAUAAAUACAGCUACCUGGUAUGGUUUUUUCCUUGGGUAGACAUUUUCCCUUUGUUCCCUCUAGUUGACUUGCAUCUGUGUUCUUCAUAACCAAGUCUCCUACCAGAAACUCCCACCUAUGCACCUUGAAGUUGCAGUAUUUUCCCACCUAUUGAGCUCUAACUACUAGGCAGAGGGUUGCUUAAUUUCUGGUUUCUUCUAGGAGAUUUAAGUUCUUUCAGAGCAUAACUUCGUUAGCUUGGGAGGUAUAAUGCAACAUACAAUGGAUGUUGGGGCCAAUUUCUAUAGGUAUCACCGUUUCAGUCUCAUAUAUAAGAUUAAAGGAAUCUUUCAUGUUCCUAAAUACGAUGUCAUUCAAAGAGACCAUAAAACUCUAAUGAGUUCUUCCAACCAUCUAUUCUUGGCCGCAUCCACUUCCUUCUUCAGCCCUUGGAGAAUUUUCUUAUUGGUGCCCUCGGUUUGACCAUUCGUUUACAAAAUCUUGACUAAACUGUGUCAAAUAAAUGUGAAGAUUCUCACAAAAAUCCUUGAAUUUCCUUUGAAUUUGGGUUUUGUUGUCUGCACAUAAAAUCCCAUACCAGCAAAUGAUGGUCUUUUACACAAUUUUCCAUUUACUUUUCAAUGAUGGUGGCCAAGGCUUCAACUUCCAUCCACUUGGUGAAAUACUCAAUGACUAUCACAAAAUGUUUCUUCUACACAACAAUAGGUGAAAAUGGGCCAACUAUGUCAAUUCCCCAAGUGUUGAACGACCAGAGACUAGAGAUACUUUAGAGAGUUUCGUUGGUUAUCGAGGUGCCGGUGAGAAUUGUUGGCAAGGUUCACAAUUGGCGACAUAUUUCACCAUGUCUUUCUGCAUUAAGGGCCAAUAGUAACCCUACCAUAGGAUUCUUUAAGUGAGAUCCAUUACACCCAGAUAAUGUGCGCAAAUUACUUCAUGGGCUCUCGCCAUUAUAUAAUCAGCUUUGGAAGGUACCAAACACCUAAGAAGUGGUUGGAGAAAUCUCUAAUAGGAUCUCAUCAAUCAAAAUAUAAUGGGAAGCCAACCAUCCUACCAUUUCAUGCUCUUUUGGGUUCCUAAACACCUUUUCUUUUAUUAAGAAUCUCGAAUAGGGGUCAUCCAAGUGUCUUUAAAGUCAACAGUGAAAACUUGCUCUAGUGCUUCAUAACUUGGAUACUCCUUGUGUUCCAACAAGAUUUUCCCCCUUUCCAUGAUGUUGAUGGUGCCUGCUAACUUUAAGAAGGCAUCUGCUCUGGCAUUUUCUGUCAUUAGGGUUAACUUGAAUUUUCAAGAACCACUUAAUUAGAUCCAUAACUAAGUAGUACUUGGCCAGUGUUGGUUUUUUUGUCAACGUACUCUCCUUGAACUUGCUUCGCCACCAGUUGUGAAUUCAUGUGGACAUGGAGAUUCCAGAUGCUUAAUUUACGAGCUAAUUCUAGUCUUACCACCAAGGCUUCAUAUUCAACAAUAUUGUUGGAAGUGGAGAAAGAGAAGGACAAAUUGUACUACUAUUUUUCUCCUUCAAGUCCUACCAAUAGAACUCAAGUUCUAAAGCCCUUUUUUUAAAUGCUGUCUACAUAGAGAAUUUAAGAAUUUUCUUGCAAUGGAUUAGGGUUCACAAAAGGACCUUUUGGGUAUUUGAUGAAGCUCGUCGAGGUUGUUAUUAAAAUCUUUGAAUGGUCGAGAAAAUGAGCACUUAUCUAUGAAGUUAGCUAGAGCUUGGGGCUUGACUUCCUUCCACAAUAGAUAUUCUGGCCUACAUUCACUUAGCUCGACACUUCAUUUGAUCACAUUUCUAAAAGUGUCAACCUUGCCCAGGAUAUCCUUAAGUGGUUGGCCGGAUAAGAUCAUGAUGGGGUGAGCUUGAAAAUAAGGACGGAUUUUUCUUGCAACCAUUACCAAGGCAAAGACAAUCUUUUCUACCUCGAAGUAGUUUAGCUCUUCGUCUUGCAGAACCCUACCGACAUAAUAAAUUGGUUACCGUUGUCCACCAAUUUCCUUAACCAAGUCGCUGCUACUGUUUUGUAGGAUGCAACAAGAUACACAUACAAUAAAUGUAACAACCCGAUUUUUAGUGGUGACGAAACAGUGGUUUUGGGACCACAAAUUUAUGUCGUAUCGACUCGUAAUUAUUAUUUUUAGAAUAUUUAUAGAGUUAUUAGAGUCGUAUUAAAAUUUGGUUUAGAAAUAUUAACGUUUGGAUGCUUAAUUAAAAAAAGGACUAAAUUGAAAAAUGUGAAAAAGUUAGUAAUUAGUUCAAUUAAAUGAUUAAAUGGCUUAUUAAUUACAUGAAGAGGGACCAAUAUAAUAAUUAGUCCCUAAUGGAUAGUGUUGGACGGCAAAAGGAAUUAAAAUGAUAAAUUAAUGUGAUUUUAAUGGCAUAAUUAUAAAUAAAUAAAAAUUAAAUAAACAAAUUAGAAGAAAUAAGUUUUUCUUCUUCAUUUCUUCUUAUGCCAUUGCCGAAACACCAUAGAAGUAGCUUGGAGAAUCGGUUGAGCAUAAAAGCUUGCGUGUGAGUUCAAUUCUUACUUGUUGCUUGUAAUUUUUAUAUUUUUGAGAUCGUUGCAACUAGGUCCAGCUAACUCGUACCUUCGUUUCUAAUUCUGUUAAAAGUUUUGUAAGUUUCCAUUAUUGAAUAUUGGAUUUUUUUAUGAAUAUCAUGUAUUUGGAGUUUUGAUUUUGUUCUUUAAAGAUUUUGUAAAGAGAUUUUUGUUAAAUUUUAAUUUUACGAUUAAAUUGUGUAAAUUAGAAAAAAUAAAAUGGUAUUAAUUGCAAAAUAGAUUGAAAAUGAAAUAUAUGCUAAUAAAUGAGUAACUUUACAUUUUAGAUCAAGAUUUCGUAGAUACUCAUAGAAAAGGAAAAAUAGCGGAAUAGUCCAUAAACUUCUACAACUACUACAAUUUAGUCCAAGUAAGUUCGUACUGUUAAAAUUUAACAUUUAUAUACAUAGGUGAUUGGUAUUACAUAACAUAAUAUAUGUUCCAUUGUUGGAAAUGAAUCAUUAUUUGAGUUAUAAUAUUGAAUUUGAUGCUCGAUUUCAAUUAAACGUAGGAUAGAUACAUUCGUGUUUUGGUGUGUUAUAGGGGUUUAGAGUGGAGGGAGAUAUUUGUAUAUUACCCAAGUAAAAUGAGGUUUAGCAUUUGUUGCGAACUCUCGCGUUAUACUUUCUGUUUGACGUGAUUCGGGUGGAUCAACUCUUAUGAGCUUUUGUUCAGUUUUUAUGAGCUUCUAUUCAGCUCUUAUGAACUUCUGUUGGCGUGUUUCAGAUGACCCAACUCUUAUGAGCUUUUGUUUGGCGUAUUUCAGUUGGAUCAGCUCUUAUGAAUUUCUGUCUGGUGUGUUCGGUCUAUCUGACGAUGUACUCUUACCCGUAAGUCAUUCUUUGAAUGGAAAAUCUCGAUAAGCUAAUUUGUUUAAUGAAUUUGAAAGAUAUGUUACUUAUUCCAUAUUGAUCUGAACAUAGAUGAACUUAUCGAUUAAAAUUGUAAAUAACAGAGAGUUCUCAUGGAUGAUUAUUAUUGUUAGAAUUAUUAUAAUUAUUUCAGUAAGAUUUAUCGUUUAAUACGUCGAACUUACUAAGCUCCAUUAAGCUUACUUGUGCUGUUUAAUGUCAUUGUAGAUUCUCGGAAGGUUAGAUGAUCGGAUCAGUACUCAAGCCACACUAUCCAACUCAUCUCUGUAGUUUUUAGAACGUUUAAUACAGAUUAUAUGGCAUGUAUAAGCUCUUGUGUGGUUUUGGUUAUUGUUUGGCUUAUAUAAAUAUUAUGAAUAAUAUUUUGUGCAGAUAAACAACUUAAAUAUUACAUGAGAAUGGGGUAUAAUUUUUAUGCUAGUAUAAAUGGUUUAUAUAAAUGAAAUGUUGUGAUUGUGGUACAUUUGAUAGGUAUUUUGAUUAGGUAUUGCUUGAAUGAAUCAAUAAAUUGAAUUGAUGUUUAUUUUGAUGUAUAAUUAUAUAUACUUGUGGUACCAAUGAUGGUACAUUGGUUAGGCACUUAUUAGGUUGGUUUUGCUGUGUUUUUAACUCGAUUAAUGUCAUUUUGAAUUUGUAUUUUGGUUGGUAUUUGAGUUUCUUAAGGUCCAAACAAACUUGAAAUGGUAAACUUGUGUUUUAAGGUUCAUUUUGGGGACACACGGCCGUUCAAGGCAUGCAAGUUAGGCAAUUACACGGCCUAGCACACGGCUUGGCACAUGGGUGUGUAAGGCCAUUUCGAAGGUUACACGACCUGGCACACGGGCGUGUGAUUUGGCCGUAUGACCCAAGCCAGUGAGUUACACGGGCAUGGACACGGGCUGAGACACGGCCGUGUGUCCCUAUUUCGAAUGUCCUCACGGCCUGAGAUAUGGGCAUGUGUUUCAGCCGUGUGAUCCCUACAGUCUAAAAUUUUUAACUUUUUCCUAAAAUUUCUAAAUGUUUUUUAUUUAGUCCCGGACUGUUUCUAUAGUAUUUUUAGGGCCUUAAGGGCUCGAUUAAAGGACAUUAUGAAUGUAUUUGAAUGAAACUAGAUUAUGUUUGCAUUGAUGUAUGAAUUGAAUGGUUUACUAUUCUAUUAGUAUGGUAUUGCUUCGUAACCCUGUUUCAAUGACAGAUACGGGUUAGGGGUGUUUCAUUUAGUAGUAUCAGAGCUCCGAUUUCUUCGGUUCUUAGACUGAAUGUAGCAUAUAAAAUUUUUAGAAUUACAUGUCAUAUAAAUUUGUGAUAGUGUGACUUGUUUGAUCCGAUCUAACCUUUAUUUUUCUUAUAGAUUGUAAAGAUGUCAGACGGAUCUGAUCGUGCUGACAAUGAUGAGGUUAACAGUAAUGUACCGUCCUCUGAUCAUGGGACGAGUAGUAAUGUUCUGAUUCUACCGGCUUAGAAACAUGAGCUUAAAAAUAUAUUCUUUGGGUAUAUGAACCAGUGGUUUAGCGAGUUUAUGCAAAUGAAUAAUUUAGCUCAACGACCUCCACCCCUAUUGUACCCCUUGUUAUACCACCUGUUGUACCUCCGGUUGCACUUCCACAUCCUUCUGUGAUUGAACCCAGUAGGCGUAUUCCGGUUAAGAAACUUAGAAAGUGUGGUGCUGAAAAAUUUUGGGGCAGAUUUGAGGAUGAUCUGGUUAAAGUUGAGUAUUGGCUUCAGAAUAUCUUACGGGUUUUUGAAGAAAUGGCUUGCUCUCCUAAUAAUUUCCUUAGAUGUGUUGUUUCAUUAUUAAAGGAAAAAGUGUACAGUUGGUGGUCUACGAUAGUAGCUGUGGCACGUAGAGAGAAAAUUUCCUGAGAACUCUUUCAGACUGAGUUUAAAAAGAAAUAUGUUAAAAAAUGGUAUUUAGAGAAAAACAGAGAGAAUUUCUUGAGUUACAUCAGUGAAAUAAAUCAGUAACUGAAUACGAAAGAGAAUUUGUGUAUCUCAAUAAAUAUGCUCAAGAAAUUGUACCUACUAAAGAAGAUAUAUGUAUCUGGUUUGAAGAUGUCCUGAAUGAUGAAAUCUGAAUGAUGAUCGGAGGUAAUGAAAUUUGAGAAUUUGUUAUCUUAUUUGAUCGUGCACAGAAAAUACAAGAAGUGUACAACCGUAAGAUACAAUGGGAUAGACGGAUUCGAGAAUUUCACAAGAAAGAUUUUUCCAAGUCAUUUUUUGUAUCAUCGGUAAAGAAGACUAAAGAUGAUUUUAACUGAGCUACCUCGGUGUUUGAGCAUCUAAACAAAAAUAAGACGAUUUAGUAUGAUUUUAGAGCACUUACUAAACCAGCUGAUUGUGUGGGUAGUGUACGAAAUGCUUUAAAGUUCAAUUGUAGAUAUUAUGGGUAAUAUCAUCUUGGCGAGUGUAGAGGUAAAUCGGGAGCCUAUCUUAGAUGUGGGUCGACUGAUCAUUUUAUUCAAAAUUGUCCUAAAUCGCUAAAAGAGAAUGAAGAUCAGAAAGAAAAGAAAAUGUCUACCUCUCAGAAAAGUAAACGUUCGGGCCAGAAUAGUGCUACCGGGACUACUCAUAUGGAAAUGAAAGACACUGUCAUUCAAUCAGAAGCUAGAGCACCUGCUCACACCUACGUCAUUCGAGCCAGGGAGGAAGCUACUACUCCAGAUGUGAUUACUGGUAUAUUCUAUCUCUUUGAUGUUACUAUGUAUGCAUUGAUUGACCCUAGGUCAACUGAUUCUUAUAUUUGCACUGCAUUAGUAAUGAAAAAGAAUUACCUGUUGAGUCUACUAAUUAUGAUAUUCAAGUUACUAAUCCCUUAGGUCAGAGUGUGAUAAUUAACUUAGUUUGUCGUAAUUGUCUACUGAAAGUUAAAGGUUGUGAAUUCCUUACCGAUUUAAUGUUGUUACCCUUUCGGGAAUUUAAUGUUAUUCUGGGUAUGGAUUGGCUAUCGUUGCAUAAUGCUAUAGUAAACUGUAGACAGAAAUGGAUUGAUUUGAAAUGUCAAACAAGAGAGAUGAUUUCAGUUAAGCCUAAAAGUCCGAAAGAUGUUAGAAUUAUUUCAACUUUUUUUGCUCAGAGAUUGAUACGAAAAGGUAACGAAACAUUUCUAGUAUAUAUUCCUGAUAACAGAUAUUCAGAAUCGAAGUUAGAUCAGUUACCAGUUGUUAGUGAGUUCGCUAAUGUUUUUCAUAAAGUGUUUCCCAGUAUGCCUCCUGAUCGUGAAGUUAAGUUUGUGAUUGAUUUUGUUCUUAGAACUGUACCGAUAUCAAUAUCACCGUAUCGUAUGGCACCAGCUGAGUUAAAAUAAUUGAAAGCACAGUUGCAAUAGUUAUUAGACUGAGCGUGUUUCCCUGGGUUGCACGUGUGUUGUUUGUGAAAAAGAAAGACGGCUCUUUAAGAUUAUGUAUAGGUUACAAACAAUUGAACAAAGUCACGAUAAAAAAAUAAGUAUCCUUUUUCACAUAUCGACGAUUUGUUUGAUCAAUUGAAAUGUGCCACAGUGUUCUCGAAGAUAUAUCUCAAAAUCGGGUAUUAUCAAUUGAAGGUUAAAGACUGUGAUGUGUCAAAGACUAGUUUUAGAACUCGUUACGGUCAUUAUGAGUUUCUAGUAAUGCCAUUUGGUUUGACUAAUACCCCUGCUGCUUGUAUACAUUUAAUGAAUCAGGUUUUUCAACCUUAUUUGGAUAGAUUUAUUGUUGUAUUUAUUGACGAUAUAUUGAUUUAUUCCAAAAUAGAAUCCAAGCAUGCUCAACAUCUGAGAAUCGUACUACAAUUUGAGAGAAAAAAUAAUUGUACGCAAAAUUUAGUAAAUGUGAAUUCUAGCUUCGCGAGGUUGGAUUUUUGGGUCACAUAGUAUCAACAGACGGGAUCCGAGUUGAUCCAAGUAAAGUUUCUGCUGUGAUGAAUUGGAAGACUCCGAAAAAUGUUUCAGAAGUGCGAAAUUUUCUGGGUUUAGAAGUUACUAUCGACAUUUUGUUAAAAACUUUCGAUUAUUACUUCAUCGAUGACCAGAUUAUUACAGAAAAAUGUUGAGUUUGUUUGGUCCGAUAAGUUACAACAGAGUGUCGAUCAGUUGAAGAAAAUGUUGACGAAAGCCCUAGUGUUGACUCAACCUAAAUCUGGAGUAACGUAUGUUGUUUAUAGUGAUGCGUCUCUCAACGAUUUGAGUUGUGUGCUUAUGCAGGUAGGGAAAAUAGUACCUUAUGCUUCUCGUCAAUUAAAGUCGCAUGAAAAGAAAUUAUCCUACUCAUGAUCUCAAGCUAGCCGUGAUUAUAUUCGCUUUGAAGAUUUGGAGACAUUAUUUAUUCGGCGAGAAAUGUCUCAUGUUUACAGAUCACAAAAGUUAAAGUAUUUGAUUACUAAAAAAGAAUUGAAUUUGAUACAAAGACGAUGGUUAGAAUUACUGAAAGAUUACGAUAUGGUUAUUGAUUAUCAUCCAGAAAAGGCUAAUGUAGUUGCGGAUGCACUUAGUCGAAAGUCGUCAUUGUUUGCACUUCGAGCGUUGAAUGUUCAUUUAGCUUUAAAUGAAUAUGGUUCUAUAUUAGCAGAGUUGAGAAGCAAACCUCUGUUUCUACAAUGAAUUCGAGAAUCGCAAAAUGAAGAUUCGAGGUUGACGAUGAAACUAAAGUUCAUCCUGAAUAAUUUGAGUUCAAAGUACAGUGUUGAUGAUAAUGGUACAUUGCGUUAUCUCGAUAGAAUUUGUGUCCUGAAUAAUCUAGAUUUGAAACAUCAUAUUCUUUCUGAAGCUCACAACAGUACAUACUCUAUUCAUCCAAGUAGCACGAAGAUGUAUUAUAACUUGAAACAAAUGUACUGGUGGUCGGGUAUGAAACGAGAAAUUUGUGAAUUUGUAGCUAAAUGCUUGAUUUGUCAACAGGUGAAAGCAGAACAUCAGGUAUCGUCAGGUUUACUACAACUUGUUAUGAUUCCUGAAUGGAAGUGAAAGCGAGUCACGAUAGGUUUUGUAUUUGGUUUACCUGUAACUUCAAGAAAGAAAGAUUUGAUCUGGGUGAUUGUUGAUAGAUUGACUAAAUCGAUACAUUUUAUUCCAGUCAGAACAGAUUUUACACUCGAGAGAUUAGUGGAACUAUAUGUAUCCGAGAUUGUAAGAUUACACGAAAUUCUGACAUCUAUUAUUUUAGAUCGAGAUUUACAUCGAGAUUUUAGAGCAAACUUCAAGAGGCUCUAGGCACUAAACUUCAUUUCAUCACAACAUUUUAUCCUCAGACUUACGGGUAAUCAGAACGAGUGAUUCAGAUUCUAAAAUAUAUGCUGAGAUGUUGUAUACUUGAAUUUAAAGGUAACUGGAAAAAGUACCUACCGUUAGCUGAAUUUUCUUAUAAUAACAGUUAUCAUUCUAGUAUAAAAAUGGUACCGUUUGAAGCUCUUUAUAGAAGAAAAUGUAAAACACCAUUGUAUAGGUCAAAAUUGAGUGAAUCUAAAAUGGUGAAAAUUGAUUUGAUCUGAGAAAUAGAAGACAAAGUUCAAAUUAUUCGAGAUUGUUUGAAAGCUGCAUCUAACCGUCAGGAAUUGUACGCGGAUCUAAAAAGAAAAAAUCUAGAAUCUGUGAUUGGCAAUCGAGUAUUCCUGAAAGUUUCUCCGUGGAAGAAAGUGCUGCAUUUUGGCAAAAAGGAAAGUUGAGUCCGAGAUUUAUAGAAUCGUACGAGAUUGUUGAAAGAAUCGGCCCUGUAGCUUAUAGAUUAGCUUUACCCUCUGAACUCGAGAAAAUCUAUAAUGUGUUUCAUGUUUCAAUGCUGAGAUGGUACAGAUCUGAUCCUUCACAUGUGAUUUCUCAUAGUGAGAUUGAGCUACAGCCAAACUUGACGUAUUCGAAAGAACUCGUAAGAAUUUUAGCUCAGGAAGUGAUAGGUUUUAUACGAAAUACGUUAUACAUGAAAUUGAAAGAAAAAGAUAUUGUUAUAUGAAAUGUCAUGAUGAGGUAUAAAUUGUAAAAUAAGUAAGUGAUAGGUGAAAUGUAUAAUAACAAUUAUUAAUGGAAUUAUGAAAGAUUAUUAAAUAUUGAGUCAAGUUACAUGUGUUAAUGAAAAAGGAAGAUAUAAUUAUACGAAGUAUUGUUAUAAGGAUUAAAUGGUAAAAAGUGUAAAAGUGACAUGUGUAUAUUAUGACUUGCCUAAGUAGACGAGAUAAAAACUAGUGGAAUAUUAGUGGCAUGCCAUUAAGAAACCUUAGCGCGCUCUCUGAUUAUUAGCAGUUAGUGCUCUCUAAUUAUUUGCACGUCAAUGCUCAUCAAUUAGCACAGCUGUGUUCUCUGUUCAUCCGUUCGGCGGUGUUCUGUUCCGUAUAUCCUGUGUGUUCUAUUAAGUAUACUGAGCCUUUGAAAAAGGUACAAAACUAUUUUAGUGAUUAUUGAAUUAUAUAGAUUAUAUGUGUUGAAAAGUUUUGAAAUUGAGAAAAAAAUAUGGUUGAAAUAAGUAAAGUAAAUUAUUAGAAAUUUUAGCUAAAUAGAGUAAAUGAUAAUUUAAAGCAAAUCAUGUGAUUCUAGUAUUAUAUAGAUGUUAAUUAAAUCAAAAUGUUUAGUUGGUGUUUAAUGAGUAAAUAAUAAAUGUGGACCUAAUUGUAAGAAUAAGAGAAUUGAUUGGUAAAUUAUGUAUGAUGAAUACAAACAAGUCAUUUAAAUGUUUCUAUGUAGUAAAAAUAAAUAAGUUAUCAUUUAUAAUAUAGAUUAUAAUCUAAAUAUUUGUUGUACUUACUAAGCUAGAAAUAGCUUAACGCGUAGGUUAAAAGUAGAGGAAAAAGAUUUUUGAAGAUUGAAGACACCUCAUCUCAUCACAUCAGUGGAUCCGAGAAAGAGCUAAGGUAUUAAUUUCUGCCAUUUCAGUAAAUGGCAUGUACCUAGGUGUGUGUAUUAAGGUUGUAUGUGAUGCGACUUAAAUAUUUACUUAAUUCAUAUGAAAUAGUUUAAAUGUCAAUUAAGUGAUAUAACAAAAUUAGAUUUUAGACUACUUAAUUACGAUUUAUAUUUGAAUUAAAUUGGCUUAAAAUUUGAUAUGUGAACAAGGGUUAAACUAGGUAAACUUUAGGAAUUAAUUUGGCAAAUUAUCCCUUAAAUUUCAAAUUUAAACAUGAUUACUGAAAUCCACACAGUCACGUUCCCUAUUUUUCACAAUGGCCCUUCUUUCACUUUAGUAUAUUGUUUUAAAUGUAAGAAUGGUAAAAAAAAUUAUUUCGGCUUAUCUCGAAUAUCAAUAAUUAAUAUACUAGAACAACGAAACUAAUAUGUACAAAUUAUAAUGUUAUUUUUAUUUAGAAAUUAUUAUUAGAGUUUCUGAAAACCAAUGUAACACUUCUAUACUUGAUCCGGUAAUCAGGUUGGGUAUAGGGGUGUUACAUCUUAUGAGCUUAUGUUGGCGUGUUUCGAGUGGACCAACUCUUAUGAGCUUUUGUUUGGCAUAUUUCAGUUGGAUUAGCUCUUAUGAGUUUCUGUCUGGUGUAUUCGGUCUAUCUGAUGAUGUACUCUUACCCGUAAGUUGUUCUUCGAAUGGAAAAUCUUGGUAAGGUAAUAUGUUUAAUGAAUUUGAAAGAUAUGUUACUUAUUCCACAUUGAUCUGAAUUGAUGAACUUAUCGAUUGAAAUUAUGAAUGACAGGGAGUUCUCAUGGAUGAUUAUUAUUGUUAGAAUUAUUAUAAUUAGUUCAGUAAGAUCUAUCGAUUAAUAUGUCGAACUUACUAAGCUCCAUUAAGCUUACUUGUGUUGUUUAAUGUCAUUGUAGAUUCUUGAAAGAUUGGACGAUCGGAUCGAUACUCAAGUCACACUAUCUAACUCAUCUCAAUAGUUUUUGGAACGUUUAAUACAAAUUAUAUGGCAUGUAUAGGCUAUUGUGUGGUUUUGGUUAUUGUUUGGCUUAUGUAAAUAUUAUGAAAAUAUUUUGUGCAGAUAAACAACUUAAAUAUUACAUGAGAGUGAGGUAUAAUUUUUAUGCUAGUAUGAAUGGUAUAUAUAAAUGAAAUGUUGUGAUUGUGGUACCUUUGAUAGGUAUUUUGAUUAGUUAUUGCUUGAAUGAAUCAUUGAAUUGAAUUGAUGUUUAUUUUGAUGUAUAAUUAUAUAUACUUGUGGUACCAAUGAUGGUACAUUGGUUAGGCACUUAUUAGGUUGGUUUUGUUGUGUUUUUGGCUCAAUUAAUGUCAUUUUGAAUUGGUAUUUUGUUGGUAUUUAAGUUUCUUAAGGUCCAAGCAAACUUGAAACGGUAAACUUGUAUUUUAAGGUCCAUUUUGGGGCCACACGGCCUGAGACACGAGUGUGUGUCUCAACUAUGUGUGACACACGGCCAUGCGACACGGCCGUGUAUCCCCUGCAGGUUCAAGGCAUGCAAGUCAGACAGUUACACGGCCUAGCACACGGGCGUGUGGGGCCAUUUCGAGAGUUACAUGGCCUAGCACACGGGCAUGUAGCUUAGUCGUGUGACCCAAGUUAGCGAGUUACAUGAGCAUGGACAUGAUCGUGUGUCCCUAUUUCGAAUGUCCAUGUGGCCUGAGACACGGACGUUUGUCUCAAUCGUGUGACCCCUACAGUCUAAAUUUUUCAACUUUUUUUCUAAGAUUUUCAAAUGCUUUUGAUUUAGUCCUGAACUAUUUCUAUAGUAUUUUUAGGACCCCGAGGGCUCAAUUAAGGGACAUUAUGAAUGUAUUUGAAGUAAUUAGAUUAUGUUUGCAUUGAUGUAUGAAUUGAAUGGUUUACUAUUUCGUUGGUCCGGUAUUACUCUGUAAUCCUGUUCCGAUGACAGAUACGGGUUAGGGGUGUUUCAAUAAAUCACCUAGUAAAAGAGACACUAGAAGUGGAAGGGUGCUCAAGUACUGCUUUAACUUCUCAAAAGAUUGUUGACACAUUUGUAUCCACUAAAAGGGACAUUUUAACAGUUUGAAGAAUGGUAGGCAUUUGUCAAUAAUCUAAGUGAUGAGUCAUCGUCAUAUGAUUAUUUUGGACUAUAUCUUACUUAUGUUUGUUUGGUUUCCUGAGCAUUUUUAUAUGUUUUAAAUUCAUUUUAAUGAUUUGACCUCUUUAUUUGUAUUGUAAAUAUUGUGUAUUUUUAGUUUUUUUAUGCAUUUAGUUUCAAUAAAAUAUUUCAUGUGAAAUUUGCAGGUAAAACAAAUUUGGGAAGAAGAUUUCAAUAUAUGAAACCAUGAGAUUAAAUGCAUUAAGCCUAAAUUUGAUCCAAGAUAAUGAGUAAAAGUUAAAAGCUCAAAAGAUUAAAAAUUUGUAAUUUGAACACUUUCAGAACUUUCAGUCGAAACACUUCCUAGUGUUUCGAUCAUGUCUCGAGCUUUAGGACUCUAUUUUAGGUGUACCUUAUAUCGUCGAAAAGGGGAUUUGAAGAUCCAUUCAAAUAUUGAAACACCAACGCCAAAAUGCAUCAGGAAGAAAUUCAAAAGUAGAGAUAAAUUUACAAGUUUCACAUUAAUGGACAAUUUUGAUGCAUUUUCGUGUUUGGCUCAUAUCUCCUAACAUAAUUAGAGUUUGGAGUUGAAAUUUUUACAUCAUAUAGACCAUCAAUCAACUCUCUUGGACCUUUCCUAUUGAGAGCUGUUAACUUGGACCAAAUGAGUCAUCUUUUAACAUGUAAAAAAUGCCUCAAAAGAUGACAAAGAAGUAGGCCUAAAAAUUUAUUAUUAGCAUAUCCUUUGUAUUGUCAUUUUUCUCUUCACAAAUUUCUAUAAAUAGUCUUUGGUUUUAGCAUAGUAGACAUCUUAAAGUUGAGUUGAAGAUCAUUUGCUUGUUAAGUUUUUGUUUGUUUCAUUAUUCAUGUAAAAUCUCAAGUUUCUUAUAUCUAAUAUGUAUAUUUCAUCUAAGUUUGAGUUUUUUUACUUUUGCUAUGUAAUUCUAAGUUUUCAAUGCUGAGGUGAAAGGGUGAAACUCUUGGGAAAUAUUAAAGUAAAUUCCAUACUCAUCAUUUGAGCUAAAAUUAAUUAUCAAUCACUUGUUAUAAUCAUACUUGAAAAGUAAGAUAUUUUAUUUGUUAUAGACAAUAUAUAGCACAAUGAAUGCUUGGAUAAAUUAACCUUGAUUUGUUGUAGACAUAAAAAUUGGCAAAAUAUAUAUUUGAAAUCUUUUUAUAAGUCUUGAAGUUAUCAAGUGAUUAUAAUACCAUAUGGUUGAACUUUCAUAUUGCACCAUCAUCUGCUUAUGGAUUCUUUUGUUAAACUUUUAGACUUAUUGGACAAUCAUUUUGGACACUUCAUUGAUGGACAUACAUUUGCUCAUGGAUUCAUAUGCUUAAUUAGCGGACGUACAUUACUAGAUCAUCGAUUGUGACCUCCAUUUAUGUAUGGAUUUUAAUUGAGUAAUAGUAUUAAGCAUUAAAAUUUAAUCUUAAUACGACACUAAGAGUUGAUCCCAACACCAAGAGUUGAUCCUCUAACCUCAGCAUAUUUGGUGUUGACUUUUUAUUUCUAGUGUUUCUAGCUACUACUUCCAUUAUCAAUGCUUAUUCCAAAGUUAAGUGUUAAAUUUCUAUUCUAACAUAAUAUUUAUAAUCUUGUAAGUUCUAAUCAACUUCUCUUUCAAUCGACCUCAGACUCCCAAGAUUUUAUUACUUGAAUAUAACCUGGACUUAGGUUGUAGACCUAGAAAGUCACUAUGACUAAGGGAUACAAUCUGUCCAGUUAACCGUUGAAUUUCCUUGGGCUUCUACGGAGGAGUCAUUUCCAAGAUGGCCUUAUUUCUUUUUGGAUUCACUUCAAUCCCACUCUCAGAUAUCAUGAAACCCAUGAAUUUCUUGGCACUUGCUCCGAAAAUAUAGUUAUUCGAAUUGAACUUCAUGUUGCAUUUGUGUAGCACCGUAAAUACUUCUCAAAGGUUAUUGACAUGUUCCAUGGUGGCACUUUUGACAAUUAUGUCAUUUGAGUACGAUUUCAUACAUCUCCCUAUUUGUUUCUAAAAUAGAUUACUCACCAACUGUCGAUAGGUAGCUCUUGUAUUUUUUAGACUGAAAGGCAUCAUCCUGUAACAAUACACAUUUUCAAUAACGAAAGAUAUCUUCUCUUGGUUUUCUUUAGCUCUAAAUAUCUUAUUGUAGCUUGAAAAAACAUCUAUGAAGCUCAUAUAUUGGUGGCCUGCAAAAGCAUCCUCCUAUAGAUCUUUGAAAGGGAGCAAAAAGUUAUCUUUUGGCAAUCCUUAUUCAAGUUGGUGAAAUCUACACCCGUUUUCCAUUUGUUUUCGGAUUUGGGCACCAUUACCACAUUGGAGACUCAAUAAGGGCAUAGGACCUAUUGCAGUUACAACCUUCUCAACGAAGAAUUUGCUAUUCUUUUUAUUUACUAGUUGUGCACCGGGAUCCACCCCUAGGGAAUGUUGAAUGACAAACGAGUGAAUUCCUGGCUUGUUUGUCGCAGACCAGGCAAAGACAUUUUGACAUUCCGUCAACAAGGAAUUUCAAAAGAUUUUUUUCUCUUCAAAGGGAAGGAUGGAAACAAUCUAGGUAACCUUCUCAAGGUCUUCCCGAUACAAUUAGAUGGAUUCCAUUGUUUAUGUUGGUUGUGCCUUGGGAAGUUGGGUCUCUAGUCUAGCUUCAAGGCUUUCCAAAUCAAUUACCAUCCUUCUAAUGAUAUUGGCCCCCAUCAAAGGAUGAAAAUGCAAUGUGAAACAAGCUGGAGAAAGGUGAGAAGGGUUGAUAUUUCCCUGUGAGUUGUAGAGAGACAAUGUGACACUCACAGGCCGUCUUCUAGUUGAUUUUUAUAUAUCCCUCACCCGUGAGGGUAGAGAACUUGGCUUUCAUAAAUAAGGUGGCUAUCACCACUUUAGUCAUCCUCAUAAUUGACCUUCUAAAAAUGGCAUUUUAGGCCAUCGAAUGGUCAACUACUAAAAAUUCCACCAUUUCAGUAGUGGUGUGCUCACUAAGGGCUAUAAAGAGCAAUAGACCCUUUGACAACAACAGGUUUAUUCACAAGACAAACUGGACUUGCCAAUUUGAGUCGUGUCCUUAAGGCCCAUCAAAUAGAACGCUUUGGCGAAGGGUUACCUUGUCGGGGGAAGGUGUAAAAAAAACCACGAACUUUCUCAACUUCAUCUCCCUCCAAUCCUCUCAUAUAGGUUGAGAAGUUUGCUCAGAGUGUUCCAGAUAAUGAUAUACCUCAAAUGAUGAUAAGUAGUUCCCGCAAUGAAAGCUUGAAUGGCCCAUUCAUCAAUGGUUCCCCUUCAUGAUCAUGGUGGCUGUAUUGAAUCAACGGAUGUAAUACAAAGGGACUCACCCACUCUUUAACGAAUGAUCAUUAAGUAGGCUAGGGAUUACUGGAGUGUUUUAUUGGACAAGAAAUGACUCAUGAGUUGUCCAGCUAAUUGGUCAAAGGUAUAAAUAAACCCUCGUGAUAGUGGCAGGUAUCACUAUCGAGUUGUCUAAGAGAGGGUCAUAGAGAAUACCUUGCACUUAAUUCCAUCGGAGGCUAUUAAUAUAUUCAUGUGGUUGUAAUACCGAGCCAGAUGAUCUUCUGAAUCCCCCCGACCUGUUAUAUACAAAAUUUAGGAACUUGAAGAAGGUUGAAAUAUUGUUUGCUAGUACUUUUAGGACAAGUGACCCGUUGGAGAAGUUUCAAACAGAUUCAUCUAUUUUAACCCCCUUUCAUUUUCUAACAUCAUCUUAGCCUUGAAAAUCCUUAGUUGUUCUUCUUGAUAGUCAUUAUUGUUACUUUGAGAAUGUUAGAAUGCUACCAAGAAGCUACCAUCGUCUCUGUGAAGGUUGUUAAGGUCGUUAUAUUCACGAUUUCCUCAGAUGGUUGACUUAACCUUAUCUUUCUAGCAAACUGGAGUCUCUCUUCUAGGCCUUCCCACGUAGGUCUCAAUUCGACAAUCUACUACUUUUGUUGUUAUUUGAAGUAGUGUUCUUGAUUGGAAAAGUACUACUCUAGUCGUUGUAGCUUCUCUUAGGUUCUUAAAUCAUGAGACGAGAGCCUUAAGGCUUGUUGAUAAGAACCUUGGACUAACAAGGUGAAUGUUAUCUGCUCUAUAAGUCCAAGAAAAUAUGCAUUAGGUGAUGGUUGAUGCUUUGCGAUGGCUGAGGGAUUUGAAGCUGCUAGAGGGAUGGGGUUAACUGAUACAGUCGAGAUAGUUAGGUUGAAGCUCAAGGGUAUGUUUAAAGCUUUCAUGAACUACUCUAGAGUAGGGAGAAAGGCAUAUGCAUAUUGUAACGAUGGUCCUACAAGAGAAGAAGAAAAAGGGAUUUGAGUAAAACUCAAACUAGAGGAAGAUCAUGAGCUGUGUUUGAUGCAGGUGUUAGUUGGAGUGAUUAGUCAAGUUGGCCAAAUCAACUAUGGUUUGCAAAGUCUUGUUGUCCACAUUUAUCGCACCAAUUGUUGAUACAGUGAUACAAUGAGGUACAAAAGAGAAUGCAAUGAUGAUUAUGGAGGUCAGUUCAUCUAGCUGGGGCAAAAAGCCGAAGGCUACAAAGAGUAAAAGUAAAGAGGGUGUAAAAACUAAAUGUUGAAGAAAAGUUUAUAAGAGUAUAAGCUUGCAUGCUUGGAGAGUUGAUCGUUUGUUCAGCAUUUGUGUAGGUAUUUAUAGGCAAUGAUCUCUUUUAACUACUAAAUUGACAAAAGUUAACAAUGUUGUAAAUAAAUUUCAAUAUUUACGUACAUGGUAAAUGCAACUAUAUUUCACGAUCCCCCCCCCCCCCUUUUUACUUGUUCUACCAGGGUUGAAAAAUGUAGAGUUAUUAGAUGUUCAUAUAUUUUUUUAUUAAUUUCAUAAUCAUAAAAUGACAUUAUCAUAGUAAAAAAAGUUCCGUUUACAACUUUCGUGACAGUUUCCUAGUUUUUCUUACUCCUAAGUUUUAACAUAUCAUUUGUAUAAGCUCUAAGCCUCUACCUAAAUUCUCACAGCAAGGUCCAACACCUAUGUUCCGUUAAAUCUUGCAAUUAAGUGAUAUUCAGCCAUUCAAAUCUGAUACAAAACAAAAUGAACAUUAAAAGAAUUUUGCAGUGAAAGCUGCAGAUUCAGACACGUUCAAUUCAGUUUCAGUAGAGGUCUUGGUAUGCUCAGCAGCAUCAGUUGAUUUUCACCAUCACCUAUAAUAGCUGAACCUACCGAUUAAGCAAUGAGAUUACCACAUCGAAUUCAGGGUUUAGUUUAUUUAUAUUUAAAUUCAACACCUGCAAUCAGUUCUUGUGCGAACUAAUCCCUAUACCUAUAGGUUAAAUUAAAGAACAAAUUGAUCGUUUCUGUAAAAAUUGUCAAUUUAUACAUUUAAAAACUAAUUGCUGACAAAAUAACCAAACAACUACAAGUGAUGUGCUAUGUGUACCUCAUUCUAACGUACAAGGACCAAUUUUUAACAAUAAAAAUUAAUAGUGCAAGGGUCUCCAUGGUACUUUUACCAUUCUUUUAUGGCCUAACUAUAACCUCCACUGAAAAAUAUUUAUGUAACAGUAGUAAAAACAGUAUGUGUUCAAAAUAAAGCAUUGAAUCAAACUACAGUCGUGCCAACAGUUACAUUGGUUCAAUAUUAUUCAAGCAAAAACAGAAAAUAAUAAAGACUAGGUUUAUUUUAGUUACUAGAAAAGAACCGGGUUAAGCUAUAGAUCGAAUAAUACGGUAAUAGCAGCAAUAAGAGUUUAGAUUAAAUAGCUCCAUCAAAAUUGUUACAUACAAAACACAUUAAAACGCAAUACAAAAUAAUGCAACAAAGACAUUAUGCACCUCAUCAUUUACGGCAUACGUAUGCAUUCUCUGCCUCAGCCACUUUGAAUCUGUCUUCCCCGAAACUUGGAAUAAAAAUGAAGAAAGAAUUUACAUAUAGCACUUUUUCCCAGGAAAAAGAAUAUAUACACCAGUGACAUUCAGAACCUGCCACCAAAUCAAUUGCUUGUAUAACAUUCUAACUAGUUAUGUUACUCUACCCAUUCAUUUUUCUUUAAGUACCUAUGUCUGAUGCAUAACCAGACAUGGGUACGAGGAUACGGCACUUGAAGAAAUUGAACAUAUCCAUGUCGGACAUAUACCCAAGUCUGAGUAACAUAGCUAGCAGUCUAACCAUAUAUCAAACGAACAUCCACAAUACUAUUACAGAGAUUAAGCAAUAACUUACUAGUGUGUUUCAAGCAACACAAUGAAUUCCUUUAUUCCCUCAAGUCACAACCAACCAUUAUAAAAGAAUUAAGCUCUUACCUUAUAUUUGAGGUCUUUGUGCAAGACAAAAUCCAAGAACCUACAUAAUGUAGAAAGACACCAAUACAUAGUCCUUUCACAUGAUUAUAUUGUCCUUUAAUUAAGUAAUCCAUUGGUAGCAUAAACUAGCAUUUUUUUUUUACCCUAAAACAAUGCCAUGUCUCAGAAAACACUAUUGAGGAGUUGAACCCUAAAGGUUGAUGACUAGAUGCCAUAUUGUAUCCCCUCUAUCCAUCGAACACUGUUAGGCAUGGAUGGAAGAUAGAGAGAAUGAAAAAAGGCGAGGAAAAAGGGGGGAAGAAGGUUCUUUAUCCUUUCUGAUGUUUAACAUAGAGCAUGGAAAAUAAACAUAACAGUCAAUUUAAAUAGAAAGAAUCCACUUAUUUAACUUGCUCAUAUUUUCCUCUUACCAAACGAAGGGAUGCAAAGAAAAGCUACAUUCUUCCACCUCUUUCCUUCCUUUUUCCCUCCUACGCAACAUAGUUUAACAUGUUGUAGACUUCUUCUAUAAGUCUCAGGCGAUCAGUUAGGUGGAUACCAAUGGACUUCUUGAUUAAGGGUGUCAUUACAAAGACUCAAGGACCAUUUAAGCUGAUUUAGAUGCUAAUAAAAUAAAAAGAAAAUGUCUGUAUUCCAGAUUAUGUCUUCACAGCUACAUUUUAGGGUAAACCGGGUAAGCUAAGGAUAAAAUUCCAUCAUAAAUUGAGACAACCGAUGAAAUUAAGAAAAUGCAGAAGACAAAUGUCAGAUAAUAAACCCAGCACUCUCAGUACAGCUGACAGUGGAUGGAAGAAGGUACAAGGUUUAGAACCCCUAAACAAAUGCAAACUACAAAGAGAAAAAGACGCAAAAAAAGGAAAUAAAAGGCAGCAACAAGCAUGACGGCUAGCUAGGUUCUUGGGAGCACACAUAACAGAGCUUGGUGUUUUUGGUGGCAUGGAAAUGGCAAAUUUCAAAGAGAAAAAUAAAAUCUCCACGUAUAUUUGGUCCUUCUAGGUAGUAGCAUCAGGGUGGGCCAUGAGUAACCCUGGUUCAUCUGGUCUCCAGGUUUAAGCAGGCUUCAUCAAAGUAGGCAGUAGGCUAGAUUCAGGCUUCAUAAGUCUCAGCUGUUUUAGUGGGAUCGGAAAGGCAACAAAGGGAAAACAAGAGCAUCAGAUACGUAAAUAGGGAGAUCGGAUAGGCUAUGUUAUCAAACUGUAUACACGUAACAAAAUGAAUAGACAUAAGAAUACCAAAAUGAAAACUACAAUCUAUCUGCACGUACCAAUCAUGGAAUUUUAGUAACCAUAGUUUUAGCGCCGGGAAACAGAGGUAUGGCUUGAUAACCUGGUAAGAGAAGUUAAUGAUGAAUACUGAAGAAUCCUAAGAGAGUGUGUAUGUACUAACCUAAGGAAACUAAAAGACUCAAAGAAAUGCUUGGGAAAGAGCAAAUUGUAGACUGGCAUUGUACCCUCGAAUACAACUUUAUGUGAUGUAGUUCAAAUAUUUAAAUAUAAUGUUUAUGAUAGUGCAAUUACUCCAUCAGCCCCAAGCACUUUUCCUGCAUUAAAUGAUACUAAUGGCAGUCAUGUGAACAACAAGAAAUAUGU